This 253-nucleotide ribosomal RNA is filed under the name uncultured bacterium. RNAcentral's name for it is "partial 16S ribosomal RNA". It matches the Rfam family "Bacterial small subunit ribosomal RNA", at positions 524 to 776 of the family's 1533-position model. The record is from RNAcentral.
UACGAAGGGUGCAAACGUUGCUCGGAAUUACUGGGCGUAAAGCGUGCGCAGGCGGUUUUGUAAGUCAGGUGUGAAAUCCCCGGGCUCAACCUGGGAACUGCAUUUGUGACUGCAUAGCUGGAGUGCGGCAGAGGGGGAUGGAAUUCCGCGUGUAGCAGUGAAAUGCGUAGAUAUGCGGAGGAACACCGAUGGCGAAGGCAAUCCCCUGGGCCUGCACUGACGCUCAUGCACGAAAGCGUGGGGAGCAAACAGG